RNAcentral lists this ribosomal RNA (495 nucleotides) under uncultured bacterium. Its description in RNAcentral is "partial 16S ribosomal RNA". It matches the Rfam family "Bacterial small subunit ribosomal RNA", at positions 28 to 507 of the family's 1533-position model. The record is from RNAcentral.
GACGAACGCUGGCGGCGUGCCUAAUACAUGCAAGUAGAACGCUGAAGGAGGAGCUUGCUCUUCUGGAUGAGUUGCGAACGGGUGAGUAACGCGUAGGUAACCUGCCUGGUAGCGGGGGAUAACUAUUGGAAACGAUAGCUAAUACCGCAUAAGAGUAGAUGUUGCAUGACAUUUGCUAAAAAGGUGCAAUUGCAUAACUACAAGAUGGCCCUGCGUUGUUUUAGCUAGUUGGUGGGGUAAAGGCUCACCAAGGCGACGAUACAUACCCGACGGGAGGGGGGGCACGGCCCCCCUGGGACUGAGACACGGCCCAGACCCCUACGGGGGGCAGCCGUAGGGGAUCUUCGGCAAUGGACGGAAGUCUGACCGAGCAACGCCGCGUGAGUGAAGAAGGUUUUCGGAUCGUAAAGCUCUGUUGUAAGAGAAGAACGAGUGUGAGAGUGGAAAGUUCACACUGUGACGGUAUCUUACCAGAAAGGGACGGCUAACUACGUG